RNAcentral lists this ribosomal RNA (468 nucleotides) under uncultured bacterium. RNAcentral's name for it is "partial 16S ribosomal RNA". It matches the Rfam family "Bacterial small subunit ribosomal RNA", at positions 28 to 507 of the family's 1533-position model. The record is from RNAcentral.
GACGAACGCUGGCGGCGUGCUUAACACUUGCAAGUCGAACGGAAAGGCCCUGCUUUUGUGGGGUGCUCGAGUGGCGAACGGGUGAGUAACACGUGAGUAACCUGCCCUUGACUUUGGGAUAACUUCAGGAAACUGGGGCUAAUACCGGAUAGGAGCUCCUGCUGCAUGGUGGGGGUUGGAAAGUUUCGGCGGUUGGGGAUGGACUCGCGGCUUAUCAGCUUGUUGGUGGGGUAGUGGCUUACCAAGGCUUUGACGGGUAGCCGGCCUGAGAGGGUGACCGGCCACAUUGGGACUGAGAUACGGCCCAGACUCCUACGGGAGGCAGCAGUGGGGAAUAUUGCACAAUGGGCGGAAGCCUGAUGCAGCAACGCUGCGUGCGGGAUGACGGCCUUCGGGUUGUAAACCGCUUUCGCCUGUGACGAAGCGUGAGUGACGGUAAUGGGUAAAGAAGCACCGGCUAACUACGUG